This 73-nucleotide transfer RNA is filed under the name Ovis aries (sheep). It matches the Rfam family "tRNA". Rfam says of the family: Transfer RNA (tRNA) molecules are approximately 80 nucleotides in length. Their secondary structure includes four short double-helical elements and three loops (D, anti-codon, and T loops). Further hydrogen bonds mediate the characteristic L-shaped molecular structure. tRNAs have two regions of fundamental functional importance: the anti-codon, which is responsible for specific mRNA codon recognition, and the 3' end, to which the tRNAs corresponding amino acid is attached (by aminoacyl-tRNA synthetases). tRNAs cope with the degeneracy of the genetic code in two manners: having more than one tRNA (with a specific anti-codon) for a particular amino acid; and 'wobble' base-pairing, i.e. permitting non-standard base-pairing at the 3rd anti-codon position. Lineage: Eukaryota; Metazoa; Chordata; Mammalia; Artiodactyla; Bovidae. The record is from Rfam by way of RNAcentral.
UCCCUAGUGGUCCAAUGGCUAAGAUGCUGUGCUCCUAAUGCUGGGGGCCUGGGUUCCAUCCCUGGUUGGGGAA